UCCCCGUUCUCCUGGGCAGUCUCUCCAGAGUUCUCGGCUUGACCCGUUAGUAACUGAAGACAGGGGUUGCGCUCGUUUCCGGUUCUUAAAACCAGCAUGUCAAGCCUGGGUAAGGUUCUUCGCGUUGCGUCGAAUUAAACCACAUGCACCACCGCUUGUGCGGGCCCCCGUCAAUUCCUUUGAGUUUCAACCUUGCGGCCGUACUCCCCAGGCGGGAUACUUACUCCGUUAGGUGCGGCACCGGCGGUAACCCGCCGACACUUAGUAUCCAUCGUUUAGGGCGUGGACUAC
Molecule: unclassified non-coding RNA, 291 nt
Filed under: uncultured Nitrospiraceae bacterium
Lineage: Bacteria; Pseudomonadati; Nitrospirota; Nitrospiria; Nitrospirales; Nitrospiraceae
Description: contains 16S-23S intergenic spacer region
Source: RNAcentral